GCCACCCAGGCGCCCUCGUCAGAUAUUUUUGAUAGAAAUCACAGGGUUGGAAGCACUCCCUGUCCCGUUUCACCAGUAGUACCUCUGAACAUCAUUUGCCGGAGCCCCUAAAAACGCUAUACAGAACAGUCCCUGGGCUCAGGGAGAGGAUCCUCUCGUCUACACCCUCAGCAUCCAAUCUAGCCUCCUUCAGCCCCUUCUCCCACCAGAGAAGAAUGGGAUCAUUCUACAGACAUCAGAGAGAGGACCUGAAAAUUAAAUGGACAUAAAACAGAAUAACAGGAGGCGGGACUGGGUGACUCCGUCCACAGAGUGUGUGCCUUCAGCUCAGGUCAUGAUCCCAGGGCCCUGGAUUGAGUUCUCCGUCGGGCUCCUUGUUCA
Long non-coding RNA from Mustela erminea (ermine), 381 nucleotides. RefSeq lists it as uncharacterized. The transcript is spliced from 3 exons. The record is from RefSeq and is a predicted model, not a curated record. Lineage: Eukaryota; Metazoa; Chordata; Mammalia; Carnivora; Mustelidae.